AUCUAAGGCCACGCCACCCUGAACAAGCCCGAUCCGUUUGAUCUCGGAAGCUAAGCAGGGUCGGGCCUGGUUAGUACUUGGAUGGGGGACCACCUAGGAAGACCAGGUCCUGUAGGUG
RNAcentral lists this ribosomal RNA (118 nucleotides) under Pteropus alecto (black flying fox). Lineage: Eukaryota; Metazoa; Chordata; Mammalia; Chiroptera; Pteropodidae. The record is from RNAcentral.